CAAGCGUUGUUCGGAAUUACUGGGCGUAAAGGGCUCGUAGGCGGCCAACUAAGUCGGAUGUGAAAUCCCCAGGCUUAACCUGGGAACUGCAUCCGAUACUGGAUGGCUUGAAUUCGGGAGAGGGAUGCAGAAUUCCAGGUGUAGCGGUGAAAUGCGUAGAUAUCUGGAGGAAUACCGGUGGCGAAGGCGGCAUCCUGGACCGAGAUUGACGCUGAGGCGCGAAAGCGUGGGGAGCAAACAGG
This 242-nucleotide ribosomal RNA is filed under the name uncultured bacterium. Its description in RNAcentral is "partial 16S ribosomal RNA". It matches the Rfam family "Bacterial small subunit ribosomal RNA", at positions 535 to 776 of the family's 1533-position model. The record is from RNAcentral.